GCUGGCGAGAAGUGGUAUGUACGGUCACCUGUGGGAAGUGCUCAGAACUGUGACGCCUCCAAACUGAGAAUCCCGUGACCCAAGUGGACUCACAGUCUCACAAUUUGCACUGUUUUACAGGUAAUAUUAUAUUUCAUGCCACUGUGUUUGUUUGGCUGUUCACAUAUUUGUCCUCACCUAUUGUUAUGAUGCUAAUGCUAAAAUGGCUAUGCCGCAGCCUGGUUUAUCAACCGUAUGGUUUGAAGCAGCCAUUUUGGAUGCGAGGUGUGUUUAGAGACAUCCUGUAAAAUGUAGUUUCUGUAAAUUUACUGUGUAUUUUGCAUAUAAAAAAAAGGAUUAUUG
Nerophis ophidion (straightnose pipefish) is the source of this 342-nucleotide long non-coding RNA. RefSeq lists it as uncharacterized. The transcript has 2 exons. The record is from RefSeq and is a predicted model, not a curated record. NCBI's taxonomy places the organism in Eukaryota, Metazoa, Chordata, Actinopteri, Syngnathiformes, Syngnathidae.